GAUCCUGGCUCAGGAUGAACGCUAGCGGCAGGCUUAACACAUGCAAGUCGAGGGGCAGCAUGAAGGUUAGCAAUAACUUUUGAUGGCGACCGGCGCAAGGGUGCGUAACGCGUGAGCAACUUGCCCGUUUCAGGGGGAUAACCGGUGGAAACGCCGACUAAUACCCCAUAGCAUUGGUUUGAGGCAUCUCUUACCAAUUAAAGAAUUUCGGAAACGGAUAGGCUCGCGUGACAUUAGCUAGAUGGCGGGGUAACGGCCCACCAUGGCGACGAUGUCUAGGGGUUCUGAGAGGAAGGUCCCCCACACUGGAACUGAGACACGGUCCAGACUCCUACGGGAGGCAGCAGUGAGGAAUAUUGGUCAAUGGUCGAGAGACUGAACCAGCCAUGCCGCGUGAAGGUCACGGCCCUAUGGGUCUUAAACUUCUUUUGUAAGGGAGCAAUAAGUCUCACGUGUGGGAUGAUGAGAGUACCUUACGAAUAAGCAUCGGCUAACUCCGUG
Molecule: ribosomal RNA, 501 nt
Filed under: uncultured bacterium
Lineage: Bacteria
Description: bacterial SSU rRNA
Rfam family: Bacterial small subunit ribosomal RNA
Source: RNAcentral